This 497-nucleotide ribosomal RNA is filed under the name uncultured bacterium. Its description in RNAcentral is "partial 16S ribosomal RNA". It matches the Rfam family "Bacterial small subunit ribosomal RNA", at positions 28 to 507 of the family's 1533-position model. The record is from RNAcentral.
GAUGAACGCUGGCGGCGUGCCUAAUACAUGCAAGUCGAGCGAACAGACGAGGAGCUUGCUCCUCUGACGUUAGCGGCGGACGGGUGAGUAACACGUGGAUAACCUACCUAUAAGACUGGGAUAACUUCGGGAAACCGGAGCUAAUACCGGAUAAUAUAUUGAACCGCAUGGUUCAAUAGUGAAAGACGGUUUUGCUGUCACUUAUAGAUGGAUCCGCGCCGCAUUAGCUAGUUGGUAAGGUAACGGCUUACCAAGGCGACGAUGCGUAGCCGACCUGAGAGGGUGAUCGGCCACACUGGAGCUGGGACAGGGACCAGACGCCUGCGGGACGCAGCAGUAGGCAAUCGUCCGCAGUGGUCGGAAGCCUGAUGGAGCAACGCGACGUGAGAGAUGAAGGUCUUCGGAUCGGAAUACUCGGUUACUAGUGAAGAACAAAUGUGUAAGGAAAUAUGGAGGUCUUGACGGUAACGGAUCAGAAAGCAACGGCUAACUACGUG